CUUUUCUAGGGCCACUCCCACGGAAUAUGGAGGUUCCCAGGUUAGGGAUCUAAUCAGAGCUGUAGCCGCUAGCCUGUGCUAGAGCCAUAGCAACUCGGGAUCCAAGCCAUAUCUGCGACCUACACCACAGCUCACAGCAACACCGGAUCCUUCACCCACUGAGCAAGGCCAGGGAUCAAACCCGCAACCUCAUGGUUCCUAGUUGUAUUCAUUAACCACUGAGCCACGACGGGAACUCCUUCAAUAAUAAACUUUUUAAAAAGCUGAUGAUUUAUUCAAACAACACAGAAUGAACAUGGACUCUGCCAGGCACUAGGCCAGACACUGAAGAAAGGGGAACAAGGGAACAGGACAGAUACCAGCCCUGGACUCAGAGUGUCUGUAAUACCACAGAGUAUCUAGAAAGAAAAAAACCAAAGGAACAAAUAAAAGAAUCACAAAUGAUGUUGAGAACGAUGAAUAAAACAGAGUACGAAGAGUAAAAGGAGAAAUCAACUUUAAAUAGUAUGGUCAGGGCAGGCAACCACUGAGGAAGUGACAUUUCAGUCACUGAGAAAAACUCAGCCCUAUGAAAAGCAGAAGGAAGCAUAUUCUAGACAUCGAAAACAGCAAGAGCAAAGCCUGAGGUGGGAAAGAACUUCACAUUUAGAAGAACUGAAAGAAACCUUGUUGACUUGAGCAAAGUUGAAGGGGGUUGGGGUGGGGACACCAUCUGUGUCUGAAAAAGCAAACAGCAAAGAACAUAUAUUCAAAUGUAAUAGGAAGCCAGUAAAGGGUUUAGGUAGAGGACUACUGAGAUCCAAGAGACGAUGUCUCUACGCGGCACAUGGAGAACCAAAAUGGGAAGCAAGUAUGGAAACAGAUGGCGGCCAGACCCUUGCCCUGAUACAGUUAUUAAGUUUCACCAUCUGUAUAAGGCAAGAAAACACUUUUUUUAAAAACUGAAGUAUAAUUGCUUCACAAUAUUAUAUUAGUUUCAGGUAUAUGGCAUAGUGAUUAUUUUUAUAGAUUAUACUGCAUUAAAAGAUAUUAGAAAAUAACGGCCACAUCUCCCUGUGCCAUACAAUAGAUCUUUAUUGUUUACCUAUUUUAUGCACUGCCGUUUGUACCUCUUACCCCGUACCCCUUUCUCGCCCCUUCUUCCCUUUCUCUCCCCACUGGUAACCACUAGCUUGUUUUCUGUAUCUGUGAGAAGAGAGCACUUUUUAAAAUUGUUUCUUUUCCUCUGAAUUGCUGAACAUUUCUUUUUUCAAUCAUCCCUGAUUCUUCUACCACCAACAUAUUAUUGCAAAUAAACAUAAUCAGCAUGUCCCUAAGAACAUCUUUGGACUCAGAACACCAAUUUUUAAAAUCUUGGCUCUUCUGCUUACUAGUUUUGUAAAGACUCUAGUUUCCGUGUUCUCAUCUAUAAAGUUGGAAUAAGAAUAGAACUUAUUUCCUAGAGAUAUUAUGAUGAUUAUAUCACAAAUCUAUGCAAAACCUCCUACAACAGUAGACUAAUAAGCAUUAAAUAAAAUAAUCCAUAUAAAGCACUUGGUAGCCAGAUCAUUAUAAUCAGAAGUAAAAGUAAUUAUUAUCUUAGUUAUAAUUAUUAUUAAUAAGCAUCCUCAGAGGAAGCUCCCAUGUGGCACAGCAGGCUAAGGAUCCAGCAUCGCCACAAUUGCAACACAGGCUCCACCCCUGGCCCAGGAACUUCCACCUGCCGGGUGCAGCCAAGAACGAAACAAAACAAAACAAAAAACCUGGCCUCAGAAGUCUUCCUUCAUUGGCUACCCUUCUUCUAUUAGUUUGAAAAUACGAGUUGUCCUGGAAACUUCAAGUCCAACAGAAAAGAUCACAACUGCCACUGUGACUUCCCAAUUAGUCAAAUCUAAUGUGCAUAUAGUAACAGUUCCCCAUGAGUGGAGAAAUAUCACAUUAGCAUUGCAUCAGCUGAAUCAUGUGAAUUUGAUUUAUCAGCAUUCCAGGGAGUGAAGGGUUUGGGUGUUACAUGGAGAUCCAGUUAUUGAGUGGUUAAACAAUGUCCACUCAAAAUAGCAUGUAAAGUAAAAUACAAGAUCAAUUUAUACCAGAGAAAGCAAACCAGUAAUGAGCUUGCAUAAAGAUUAGGUUGACUACCAUCAAUAUAAAUUAAACAUAUUUUUUAUCCAUAGCUUCAUAACAGAUUUUUAACUUGUUAAUACAAGCCUUCUUAAUACCAUGUUUGCUUGUUUGUUUGUUUUUUGGCUGAGAUGAAAGUUGGAUUCUUACUGGGCAACUGUAGUAGAUGCUGCCGCGUGCUGCCCAGAUCCCCCAUUAAGGACUCCCUUCUAGGAUCAAGGCUCUCCUCCCCCAGCUUCCAGGAGCAUUGGUUGUUGACUGUUCACAACUGUACCCCUCAAGGAUGCACCACUUCUCUGGUCGAUGGAGUAAUGCAAAGGCCAGUCCCCUUGCUUCCGUCUGGGGCAACUCGGAAGAGCCAUCUAGCUCCAGAGCUCACCAUAAGAUGGGCUCACAUCUCCAUGGAAACUGCACCAUGGUCCAGCUUCUCCCUAUUUCCAACCCUCACCUGCUUCAGUUGCCCACAGGUGUAGAUCUUGACAGUACUUGCCCCGUAGACCCUGCAUUCACAAAUCUCAGACUCCGUUUCCUAGCAACUUGCCCCAAGACAACAGCCAACAAAUAUUAUAGAAUAAAUCAAUUUUUUUGCCACAGAUCCAUUCAUACCUUCUUUCAAAACAUGAACACAUUCUUAAAACAUAAGCCAACAGUUAAUCUCUUAAUAAAGAUGUGUGAAUAAGUUUUAAAAGCAAAGUCAUCAUUUCAUCGCACUGUUUAUUUCCUAUUAAGCUGUCAAACAAAAAAAAUUACUACCUAAACUGAUUAAAUACCUUGUCCUUCACUCUGAACCACAAACCACUUAAAAGGAGGAUGACAUUAGUUCUAUAGAUAUCUCAAGAAAAUUAUUCUUACUUUUAUAGAGAAUAUAAUGUAUGGUUAAAAUAGAUGUCGUGGACUAGUUCAUAUCUUUUAAUCAUGCACAUUGAACUACUUUUUUCUUAAGAAUAGACCUAAUAUUUACUUACAGGCAAAAAUAAUUUAAUUCACGAAAUAAAGAAUUCAGCUUUGUUAAGAAAAGUUAAAAUCUCAUUUUUAAGUUAAGAGAGAAGCUUAAAGGAAUUCCCACUGCGGCGAGUGGGUUAAGAAUCCCACUACAGUGGCUUGCGUCACUGCAGAGGUAUAGGUUAGAUCCUGGCCAGGCGCAACGGGUUAAAGGAUCCAGCACUGCCAUCUCAGCUGCAGCUCAGAGUCAAUCCCUGGCCUAGGAAAUUCCAUAUGCCUCAGAUGCAGCCAAAAAAAAAAAAAAAGAGAGAGCGAGAGAGAAGCUUACAAUCUCUUUAGUAUAAUUAUAUUGUUAUAUAAAAUGAUUUAAAAAUUAAGAUAUAUAACAAAAAAGUUUUAUUUUAAGCAUCAAAAAUGAGGGAAAAUACUAAAAAUGGAAGUGUAAGAAAUACAUUGAAGCUUACAUUCCUCUAUAUAAAAUACUUAACUCUCCCGGGGCUAUUUGCAGACCUCAGAGUGCAUAGCUUAAAGAUUCAAAAAUCCUAGUUUUUCUACUUCAAAAAUCAAUAGUUAUCUCAUACCACAAGCUAGAAUCUUGAUUGUUUGCGUGGGAAGCCCUUCAAUUUUAACGAAUGUAAAGAGAGAAUCUACUCUGCUCACCAGAAACUGGAAUUAUGUUCUCAAAUGUAUCCUAUCAACUAUCCCUCACCUAGCCUUCUGAGACUUAAUUCUCUCUCUGACCUAAGAUGUUUUGAAUGUCUUCCACAAUUAUUACUUUACUGGCACUUUGAUGACUCAUAAUUAUUUUUAGGAUCAAAACUCUAACCUAACCAUCUGCUGAUUUGCCAGUACUCCCUAGUAUAACUGAAACAUACACAUCUAUCGCCAACAACUAAAUGAGCUUCCUCUAUCUACAAAUACUAUUAUUCACAGAAAGUUUACUGAAGGUCAGGAAACAGAUUGAGAGAAGUCACUGAAUGCCAGAAGCAGAACUUUAAACAAAAGUUUAUUUCUGCCAGUAAGUGAGAAAGGUUACAUAUGUAACUUAGAUGGUUUGGUCUUCCCUUGCUUCUUCCUAUUUACAAAUACAAACAUCUCUUCUCAGAAGCAAAUAAAUAAAUCAUUUUCUUAAGAAGUCACAGUCUUGCUGAAUUUUACUUUCCAACCAAAUUUAAACGUUUUGCUUAAUACUCCUUAAAGUGCUAAAAACUCACUGAUGUCACAUACCAAGAAUUAAAAAAAAAAAAAAAGAAUUAAAAAUUCUGUCUUUACAAACAGAAGAAAAGCAACAACUCCAGAAGAAAAUAAUUCUAUCCAGACACCGGAGAAGAUCUCAUGAGAGUUAAGAUAUUUAAUUACCACAAUUUGGGAACAAGAAGCAACAAUGGAGAAAAGCAAAUAGAAGGUAAACAUGAGAGCGAUAGUUAAAUGCAAAUUCAUGAGUAGAAACCAAAAGUGUGAAAACUGAUCAUAUUUAAUGAUGCAUCUCUGCUUUCCCAGUUCUUCCUCAAUCAUAUGGUAAAAGAAAAUAUGAAGACACAUUAAUCCUGCUACCGGCCUUGAACACAGAAUAGGCAUUCAAAGCAAAAAGUUGAUAGUGCAACACUGACUAAAGCUAACUUGUCAAAAAGUAUCACUCCUUUAGGUAAUCAAUUACAACAGGGAUUCUAUAUACACUCUCCAGGCACAGUAAGGGUUAAAACAUACUCCCCUGCGGUGGUGCGUGACCAUGGGCUCAAGCACAUUUUAGUGUACCCCGACAUCAGCUAGAUCCUAAGUGAAUGGAGUCAACAAUAGUUUGAUCAAAGAGAUUGAGGGUAAAAGGAGCAAUUGCUUUUUGGGGUAGCUAAUGGAACACAAGAACAACUGGUUUGUACAUCAUUUUACUCUACAGUUCUACACAUCCUUGAGUUUAGAAACUGUCAAGUAUUUUUAAGGGUGAGAAUAUAAGCAGGAUCAAAGCUACAGUUAAAACUGUGAAUGCUCUGAAAAUCUUUUGGCCCUUUAAAGUUUAUGUACACAAUAGAGUUCUCCUCUCUCCAGAGAACAUCACUAAACAAAACCAAGGGGGAGCACAUACUACAGCAGCAGCUACUGGGAAUUACCAAAUUACAUGAAAUUAAUGGGAUGUGGCUCUUUGCAAUGAAUAAAUUUAUAACUAAAUGAUGAGUGCCUUACGCUUUUUAUUCCACCGGGUAAACUGCUAGAGUAAUCAAUUCAAUCAGGUCUAUUAGAGAGGCCCAUUAUAUGUCCGAUGGGCAGCUUUACUUCUUUCCCCUCCUUCUUCAGAUUUCUGUCUGUGCUGAAGGAAAAAUAAGCAGGUUGGUCCUUGAAUUUAAAUCUGGAAUGUUAAGAAGUCAGAUAUGCAAAUAGAUAAAACAGAAAAAAGGAAGCCAAGACUCGAUAAGCCAAAGGCACAAAAGAAAAAGAGAAACAUCAGGAAUACUAAAAUGUUUAGGGACCAAAUCAAAUAUUUUCAAUUUAUUUUUUAAAUGUAAUGCUGGUAAUAUUCAGAAAAAUAUUUCUAAAAAUUAAAAAAAAAGGGGGGGGGCUCAAGGAUAGAAUUACCAUGGCCCAGGCUUAGAAGGAUACAAACCAGUAUGCUUGCCCUAGGGCUGAGUGAUCCAUAUAUAGACCUGCAGAGGCAACAGUAAACUUCACAGGAAUUAUGUAAGCAAGGCUCUUCCUAUGAUGAAAUGGUGCCACAAAGGGGCAAGAAAUGACCUAGGCUUUACUUCCUGUAAUGAGGCAAUCUUUGCAACCCUAUGAAAAGUUUCUUAAUCCCAAGACUGGCAGUAUAACUUUUCUUAACUACCUCAUAGUUUUAAAAGGAGAGCCACACAAAUAACACAUGUAAGGGCUCAGUAAAGGUAAAAGUGUGAAACAGAGAAAAGGUAGCACUGACACCAGAGGCAGUCUCAGUGCUAUGGCUAACACAAAGCAAAGGCUCAACCAACAAUUGCUGGAUGAAAGAAUGAACGUUUUAAAAUAAUUUUAAGGCGUUCCCGCUGUAUUGCGGUGGGUUAAGAUUCCAGCUGCAGGAGUUCUCAUCUUGGCGCAGCAGAAACAAAUCCAACUAGGAACCAUGAGGUUGUGGGUUUGAUCCCUGGCCUCACUUGUGGGUUAAGGAUCCGGCGCUGCUGUGAGGUGUGGGGUAGGUUGCAGACGCGGCUCGGAUCUUGCGUUGCUGUGGCUGUGGUGUAGGCUGGCAGCAACAGCUCUGAUUAGACCCCUAGCCUG
RNAcentral lists this long non-coding RNA (6282 nucleotides) under Sus scrofa (pig). RNAcentral's name for it is "lncRNA (ENSSSCG00045023658.1)". Lineage: Eukaryota; Metazoa; Chordata; Mammalia; Artiodactyla; Suidae. The record is from RNAcentral.